RNAcentral lists this transfer RNA (76 nucleotides) under Verrucomicrobiales bacterium. Its description in RNAcentral is "tRNA-Thr". It matches the Rfam family "tRNA". Rfam says of the family: Transfer RNA (tRNA) molecules are approximately 80 nucleotides in length. Their secondary structure includes four short double-helical elements and three loops (D, anti-codon, and T loops). Lineage: Bacteria; Pseudomonadati; Verrucomicrobiota; Verrucomicrobiia; Verrucomicrobiales. The record is from RNAcentral.
GCCGAUGUAGCUCAGGCGGUAGAGCAACGCAUUCGUAAUGCGUAGGUCGUGGGUUCGAUUCCCACCUUCGGCUCCA